GUGGGUGUAGCUCAGUUGGUUAGAGCGCUGGUUUGUGGAGCCGGAGGUCGCGGGUUCGAUCCCCGUCACUCACCCCA
RNAcentral lists this transfer RNA (77 nucleotides) under Nitrospirales bacterium. Its description in RNAcentral is "tRNA-His". It matches the Rfam family "tRNA". From Rfam's summary of the family: Transfer RNA (tRNA) molecules are approximately 80 nucleotides in length. Their secondary structure includes four short double-helical elements and three loops (D, anti-codon, and T loops). The record is from RNAcentral. Lineage: Bacteria; Pseudomonadati; Nitrospirota; Nitrospiria; Nitrospirales.